UACGGAGGUGGCGAGCGUUGUCCGAAGUUACUGGGCGUAAAGCGCGCGUAGGCGGGGGAUUAAGUGAGAAGUGAAAGGCUGGGGCUCAACUCCAUGCAGUGCUUCUCAUACUGGUCUUCUUGAGGGGGGUAGAGAGAAGUGGAAUGGCUGGUGUAGCGGUGAAAUGCGUAGAUAUCAGGAGGAACACCUGCGGUGUAGACGGCUUACUGGACCAUAACUGACGCUGAGGCACGAAAGCGUGGGUAGCAAACAGG
This 254-nucleotide ribosomal RNA is filed under the name uncultured bacterium. RNAcentral's name for it is "partial 16S ribosomal RNA". It matches the Rfam family "Bacterial small subunit ribosomal RNA", at positions 524 to 776 of the family's 1533-position model. The record is from RNAcentral.